Small nuclear RNA from Phyllostomus discolor (pale spear-nosed bat), 164 nucleotides. RefSeq annotates it as U1 spliceosomal RNA. The record is from RefSeq and is a predicted model, not a curated record. Lineage: Eukaryota; Metazoa; Chordata; Mammalia; Chiroptera; Phyllostomidae. The transcript has a single exon.
AUACUUCACCGGGCAGGGGAGGUACCAUGAUCCCGAAGGUGGUUUUCCCAGGGCGAGGCUCACCCACGGCACUCCGGAUGUGCUGACCUCUGUGAUUUCCCCACAUGUGGGAAACUCGACUGCGUGAUUUGUGGUAGUGGAGGGCGCUUUGCUCGUGCUCUCCC